UACGUAGGCAGCGAGCGUUGUUCGGAGUUACUGGGCGUAAAGGGUGUGUAGGCGGUUUUCUAAGUUUGGUGUGAAAUCUCCCGCUCAACCGGGAGGGUGCGCCGAAAACUGGGAGACUAGAGUGCGGGAUGGGAGAGUAGAAUUCCUGGUGUAGCGGUGAAAUGCGUAGAUAUCAGGAGGAAUACCGGUGGUGUAGACGGCUCUCUGGACCGCCACUGACGCUGAGACAACGAACGUGGGGUAGCAAACAGGG
RNAcentral lists this ribosomal RNA (253 nucleotides) under uncultured bacterium. RNAcentral describes it as "partial 16S ribosomal RNA". It matches the Rfam family "Bacterial small subunit ribosomal RNA", at positions 524 to 777 of the family's 1533-position model. The record is from RNAcentral.